UCCCAUAACAUUUGAAUGCACCACACACCUCACCCCCUUCAGAUGUGUCAUGAAUCUUCAAGGUUUGAGCUCCUCAGCUCGUGGGGGUCGACUCUCGGCACCACACCGAUCUGCUCAUAAAGCUCCGCCUCUUUAGGGUACAUCGGAAUUUGAAUAUCCCAAUCAGGUUGCUGCAACAGUGGACAUUGGGCGGGGCAGUGGCUCUUUCUGGAAGUACUUUUGACAGGCUUCUGGACGGCAGUGAGCGAUGAACCAGAAUACAGCGAACAGGAGACCCGCCAUGAUGAUCACAGUCGCCGUCGCAGUGGUUGGACUCUUCCAUGUGGCGUCUGGACCUGCAGACCCCAAAGAGGAUUGAGAAACAUCAUCUCACAAAGAGAAUGACCAAUGAUGGUGUUUUUAAUGUCCUUUAUAAGGGAUUAGAGGAAACGUUCUUAAAUACUAAAAUUCUUUCGAACAUCAAUUUAAUCUUAAUCGUAAUCCUUAACAUUCACUGUAUCUUCCAAAUGUAUGUUACUGUUGACUAAGGCUAAAUAUUCCUGGGGAAACACCACCAGGGAGUUCAGGCCUAAAGAGGAUCAAUAUCACAAAUUU
Molecule: long non-coding RNA, 594 nt
Organism: Micropterus dolomieu (smallmouth bass)
Lineage: Eukaryota; Metazoa; Chordata; Actinopteri; Centrarchiformes; Centrarchidae
Exons: 3
Source: RefSeq, a predicted model, not a curated record